RNAcentral lists this long non-coding RNA (523 nucleotides) under Cairina moschata (Muscovy duck). RNAcentral describes it as "domestica (muscovy Duck (domestic type)) lncRNA (ENSCMMG00000002140.1)". Lineage: Eukaryota; Metazoa; Chordata; Aves; Anseriformes; Anatidae. The record is from RNAcentral.
GUAACUUUUGCUAUUUAAGAGCCCUGGCUUUUUUCAGUGGAGGACAAAUGUGUACUGCUAUAUCUCUUAUCAUGUUUUUUUUUUCUGCAGAGGGAAAUGUUGCAUGAAGAGAGGCCAUAUGCAACGACAUGUCAAUCUGCUACCUAUUUUUAAAUAUUCACAUAACCCCCACUUAUUGGAAAGAAAGAUGUCUAUUCUGAGAAAGUGACAGUUGAAUCAGUAACCUCUGCCUCUCACAAUUACAAGAAGCUGAUGAUCAGCUGGCGGAUGGGACUGUGCAGUUGGAAGUCCCUGAGGUUUUGGAGAUGCUUCAAGCUUCCAUCUUCAGUGUGGAAACUGGUUGCUUGCCUCUGCAAAGCCCAGGCAGCAGCAGAAUCUUGAUCUAGGACACAACAUAAAUGCUUGAAUGCUAUCCUGUCGUGGAAUGAUGGUAAGUUUCUUUACCAUUAAGAAAGGAAACUGAAGAGGAAAGGACAUGUUAAGUCUUCAAAUGUAUAAAAAGCCUCUGUGAAGAGGGAAGUGG